GAUGAAGAACGCAGCGAAAUGCGAUAAGUAGUGUGAAUUGCAGAAUUCAGUGAAUCAUCGAAUCUUUGAACGCACAUUGCGCCCCUUGGUAUCCCGAGGGGCAUGCCUGUUCGAGCGUCAUUUCACCACUCAAGCCUGGCUUGGUGUUGGGCGACGUCCUCUUUGGGGACGCGCCUCGAAACGCUCGGCGGCGUGGCACCGGCUUUAAGCGUAGCAGAAUCUUUCGCUUUGGAAGUCGGGGCCCCGUCUGCCGGAAGACCUGCUCGCAAGGUUGACCUCGGAUCAGGCAGGGAUACCCGCUGAACUUAAGCAUAUCAAUAAGCGUAGGA
RNAcentral lists this unclassified non-coding RNA (329 nucleotides) under soil metagenome. RNAcentral's name for it is "partial contains 5.8S ribosomal RNA, internal transcribed spacer 2, and large subunit ribosomal RNA". The stretch from base 1 to 120 matches the Rfam family "5.8S ribosomal RNA", at positions 35 to 154 of the family's 154-position model. The record is from RNAcentral.